RNAcentral lists this ribosomal RNA (406 nucleotides) under uncultured bacterium. Its description in RNAcentral is "partial 16S ribosomal RNA". It matches the Rfam family "Bacterial small subunit ribosomal RNA", at positions 30 to 526 of the family's 1533-position model. The record is from RNAcentral.
AUUGAACGCUGGCGGCAGGCCUAACACAUGCAAGUCGAGCGAGUGGCACGCGGGUGAGUCAUGUCUGGGAAACUGCCUGAUGGCUGGGGAUAACUACUGGAACCGGUACCUAUUCCCGCAUACCAUCCGAUGUUCCCAGAUGGGAUUAGCUAGUAGGUGGGGUAAAGGCUAACCAAGGCGACGAUCCCUAGCUGGUCUGAGAGGAUGACCAGCCACACUGGAACGGAGACACGGUCCAGACUCCUACGGGAGGCAGCAGUGGGGAAUCUUGCACAAUGGGCGCAAGCCUGACGGAGCAACGCCGCGUGUGUGAAGAAGGUCUUCGGGUCGUAAAGCACUGUCAGUGGGGAGGCGGUACCUGCAGAAGAAGCACCGGCUAACUACGUGCCAGCAGCCGCGGUAAUUC